GAUACCCGAAUGGGGAAACCCAGUGUGAUUCGUCACACUAUCAUUAACUGAAUCCAUAGGUUAAUGAGGCGAACCGGGGGAACUGAAACAUCUAAGUACCCCGAGGAAAAGAAAUCAACCGAGAUUCCCCCAGUAGCGGCGAGCGAACGGGGAGGAGCCCAGAGCCUGAAUCAGCAUGUGUGUUAGUGGAAGCGUCUGGAAAGGCGCGCGAUACAGGGUGACAGCCCCGUACACAAAAGCGCAUGUGCUGUGAGCUCGAUGAGUAGGGCGGGACACGUGGUAUCCUGUCUGAAUAUGGGGGGACCAUCCUCCAAGGCUAAAUACUCCUGACUGACCGAUAGUGAACCAGUACCGUGAGGGAAAGGCGAAAAGAACCCCGGCGAGGGGAGUGAAAAAGAACCUGAAACCGUGU
RNAcentral lists this ribosomal RNA (412 nucleotides) under Salmonella enterica. RNAcentral's name for it is "partial 23S ribosomal RNA". It matches the Rfam family "Bacterial large subunit ribosomal RNA", at positions 109 to 561 of the family's 2925-position model. The record is from RNAcentral. Lineage: Bacteria; Pseudomonadati; Pseudomonadota; Gammaproteobacteria; Enterobacterales; Enterobacteriaceae.